GAUGAACGCUGGCGGCGUGCCUAAUACAUGCAAGUCGAGCGAACAGACUAGGAGCUUGCUCCUCUGACGUUAGCUGCGUACGGGUGAGUAACACGUGGAUAACCUACCUAUAAGACUUGGAUAACUUCGUGUAACCGGAGCUAAUUCCGGAUUAUAUAUUUAACCGCAUGGUUCAAUAGUUAAAGACGGUUUUGCUGUCACUUAUAGAUGGAUCCUCGCCGCAUUAGCUAGUUGGUAAGGUAACGGCUUACCAAGGCAACGAUGCGUAGCCGACCUGAGAGGGUGAUCGGCCACACUGGAACAGAGACACGGUACAGACAACUACGGGAGGAAGAAGAAGGGAAUAUUCGGCAAUGGGCGAAAGAGUGACGGAACAACGCAGCGUGAGUGAAGAAGGUAUACGGAUCGUAAAACUCUGUUAUUAGGGAAGAAAAAAUGUGUAAGUAACUAUGCAAGUAUUGACGGUAACUAAUCAGAAAGACACGGCUAACUACGUG
This 497-nucleotide ribosomal RNA is filed under the name uncultured bacterium. RNAcentral's name for it is "partial 16S ribosomal RNA". It matches the Rfam family "Bacterial small subunit ribosomal RNA", at positions 28 to 507 of the family's 1533-position model. The record is from RNAcentral.